Molecule: ribosomal RNA, 460 nt
Filed under: uncultured bacterium
Lineage: Bacteria
Description: partial 16S ribosomal RNA
Rfam family: Bacterial small subunit ribosomal RNA
Source: RNAcentral
CCUACGGGAGGCAGCAGUGAGGAAUAUUGGUCAAUGGGCGCGAGCCUGAACCAGCCAAGUCGCGUGAGGGAUGACGGUCCUACGGAUUGUAAACCUCUUUUGCCAGGGAGCAAGCGUGCGUUCGUGAACGCGCAUCGAGAGUACCCGAAGAAAAAGCAUCGGCUAACUCCGUGCCAGCAGCCGCGGUAAUACGGAGGAUGCGAGCGUUAUCCGGAUUUAUUGGGUUUAAAGGGUGCGUAGGCGGGAUGCCAAGUCAGCGGUAAAAGUGCGGUGCUCAACGCCGUCGAGCCGUUGAAACUGGCGUUCUUGAGUGGGCGAGAAGUAUGCGGAAUGCGUGGUGUAGCGGUGAAAUGCAUAGAUAUCACGCAGAACUCCGAUUGCGAAGGCAGCAUACCGGCGCCCUACUGACGCUGAGGCACGAAAGCGUGGGUAUCGAACAGGAUUAGAUACCCCAGUAGUC